RNAcentral lists this unclassified non-coding RNA (229 nucleotides) under uncultured fungus. Its description in RNAcentral is "sequence contains ITS1". Lineage: Eukaryota; Fungi. The record is from RNAcentral.
GUAUUUUAUUAAUGCCAUUGUUAGCACAAGCACAUUCAAUAUUAUAAUCAGCGUAUAUGUGAAAGAAGAGAGAGAAAACCCAAGAAAUCAACUUGGAAUUUCCCCCUUCUUCAGGAGUGCACAGGUGUUUAGGGAAAAUUGUUGGGGAUGAGCACAUGCAAGGGUACUCGCCAGCAUCAACCCCCAUUACAAUUCAUUAAUGAUCCUUCCGCAGGUUCACCUACGGAAA